Molecule: ribosomal RNA, 360 nt
Filed under: uncultured bacterium
Lineage: Bacteria
Description: bacterial SSU rRNA
Rfam family: Bacterial small subunit ribosomal RNA
Source: RNAcentral
AACGAACGCUGGCGGCAUGCCUAACACAUGCAAGUCGAACGGGAUCCUAGCUUGCUAGGUGAGAGUGGCGGACGGGUGAGUAACACGUGGGAAUCUGCCUUUUGGUUCGGGAUAACCGCGGAAACUGCGGCUAAUACCGAAUGCCCUCGAGAGAGGAAAGAUUUAUCGCCAGAAGAGGAGCCCGCGUCCGAUUAGGUAGUUGGUGGGGUAAAGCCUACCAAGCCGACGAUCGGUAGCUGGUCUGAGAGGAUGAUCAGCCACACUGGGACUGAGAUACGGCCCAGACUCCUACGGGAGGCAGCAGUGGGGAAUAUUGGACAAUGGGGCAACCCUGAUCCAGCAAAUGCCGCGUGAGUGAUG